CAAAAACCUAUCCAGAUCCAUAUAAAAGUACAUCAUGUAUGUUUUGUGGUUUUGUACUCAAAAGUACAUCAUGUAUGUUUUGUGGUGGUGUGUGGUGGGGUGUGGAGGUGGUGUAGUGGGGUGUGGAGGUGGUGUAGUGGUGUGUGGAGGUGUGUAGUGGGGUGUGGAGGUGGUGUAGUGGGGUGUGGAGGUGGUGUAGUGGUGUGUGGAGGUGGUGUAGUGGUGUGUGGAGGUGUGUGGUGGGGUGUGGAGGUGGUGUAGUGGGGUGUGGAGGUGGUGUAGUGGUGUGUGGAGGUGUGUAGUGGUGUGUGGAGGUGGUGGAGUGGGGUGUGGAGGCGUGUGGAGGUGUUGUAGUGGGGUGUGGAGGUGGUGUAGUGGGGUGUGGAGGGGGUGUAGUGGGGUGUGGAGGUGUGUAGUGGUGUGUGGAGGUGGUGUAGUGGUGUGUGGAGGUGUGUAGUGGUGUGUGGAGGUGGUGUAGUGGUGUGUGGAGGCGUGUGGAGGUGGUGUAGUGGUGUGUGGAGGCGUG
Long non-coding RNA from Clupea harengus (Atlantic herring), 526 nucleotides. NCBI's taxonomy places the organism in Eukaryota, Metazoa, Chordata, Actinopteri, Clupeiformes, Clupeidae. The record is from Ensembl.